Molecule: ribosomal RNA, 301 nt
Filed under: uncultured bacterium
Lineage: Bacteria
Description: partial 16S ribosomal RNA
Rfam family: Bacterial small subunit ribosomal RNA
Source: RNAcentral
CAGUCGCCGCGGGAAUACGAAGGGGGCUAGCGUUGCUCGGAAUGACUGGGCGUAAAGGGCGCGUAGGCGGAUUGUUUAGUUAGGCGUGAAAUUCCUGGGCUUAACCUGGGGACUGCGCUUAAUACAGGCAGUCUAGAGUGAGGAAGAGGGUUGUGGAAUUCCCAGUGUAGAGGUGAAAUUCGUAGAUAUUGGGAAGAACUCCGGUGGCGAAGGCGGCAACCUGGUCCUUGACUGACGCUGAGGCGCGAAAGCGUGGGGAGCAAACAGGAUUAGAUACCCCGGUAGUCCCUGUCUCUUAUAC